GUAAUAGUAGACUUUCAAGAUGGAUGAUAGCGCGGGAGCUUUUGCUUCACAGUGGCCAGAGGAACCUUUGUCUGGCGGCACAGCUACAGCCAAGAUGUCGAAGAUCAUCACAAACGACGUGAAACAUGUGCUUUACCUUGUCCCUGUUCAACAGAUUUGAUACAACCAUUCUCCAUUAAGCUGUGGACACUGCACUUGAAGACCUGUUACGUCAAGUCCAGAAUUCAGAGCCAGAUAACCCAAAACCUAAUGGGCUCACAACAGGUGGAUAACGUUGCAUCCGCACAAAUCAGAUGGUUUGAUGGUGAUGAACCUGUCUGAGCAGCAGAGGGAUGACAUCUUAAUAGUUGCAUUUUCUUUUCUCCCCAUGUCUUAUUAGAAAAUAUUGACUGACUUUUCACUGUCCACUCAGCAUAUGAAGGCAUUCCUCAACCAGACUGGCCAUGGAUUGACAGUGACGAUCAUCCAUACACAGUGAGCAUCCAGAAUUGUACAACAGAAUUCCUGAGGACAAACAUGGAG
Long non-coding RNA from Monopterus albus (swamp eel), 522 nucleotides. RefSeq lists it as uncharacterized. NCBI's taxonomy places the organism in Eukaryota, Metazoa, Chordata, Actinopteri, Synbranchiformes, Synbranchidae. The transcript has 5 exons. The record is from RefSeq and is a predicted model, not a curated record.